GAUGAACGCUAGCGGCAGGCCUAACACAUGCAAGUCGAGGGGUAGCAGGAUUAAGCUUGCUUAAUUGCUGACGACCGGCGCACGGGUGCGUAACGCGUAUGCAACCUACCUUAUACUGGGGUAUAGCCCGGAGAAAUUCGGAUUAAUCCCCCAUAGUACUAAUGAAUCGCAUGGUUUAUUAGUUAAAGCAUUGCGGUAUAAGAUGGGCAUGCGUCCUAUUAGCUAGAUGGUGAGGUAACGGCUCACCAUGGCUACGAUAGGUAGGGGGCCUGAGAGGGUGGUCCCCCACACUGGUACUGAGACACGGACCAGACUCCUACGGGAGGCAGCAGUGAGGAAUAUUGGUCAAUGGGCGCAAGCCUGAACCAGCCAUGCCGCGUGCAGGAAGAAUGCCCUAUGGGUUGUAAACUGCUUUUAUUUGGGAAUAAACCUCUUUACGUGUAGAGAGCUGAAGGUACCAAAUGAAUAAGCACCGGCUAACUCCGUGCCAGCAGCCGCCGCGG
This 503-nucleotide ribosomal RNA is filed under the name uncultured bacterium. Its description in RNAcentral is "partial 16S ribosomal RNA". It matches the Rfam family "Bacterial small subunit ribosomal RNA", at positions 28 to 523 of the family's 1533-position model. The record is from RNAcentral.